Molecule: small RNA, 25 nt
Filed under: Caenorhabditis elegans
Lineage: Eukaryota; Metazoa; Nematoda; Chromadorea; Rhabditida; Rhabditidae
Description: Unclassified non-coding RNA C32C4.4
Source: RNAcentral
AACACUCAAUUUCCAAUCAAAUAAA